This 773-nucleotide ribosomal RNA is filed under the name uncultured bacterium. Its description in RNAcentral is "bacterial SSU rRNA". It matches the Rfam family "Bacterial small subunit ribosomal RNA", at positions 8 to 798 of the family's 1533-position model. The record is from RNAcentral.
AGAGUUUGAUCCUGGCUCAGGACGAACGCUGGCGGCGUGCUUAACACAUGCAAGUCGAACGGAAAGGCCCUUCGGGGUACUCGAGUGGCGAACGGGUGAGUAACACGUGGGUGAUCUGCCCUGCACUUUGGGAUAAGCCUGGGAAACUGGGUCUAAUACCGAAUAGGACCACGCGCUUCAUGGUGUGUGGUGGAAAGCUUUUGCGGUGUGGGAUGGGCCCGCGGCCUAUCAGCUUGUUGGUGGGGUAAUGGCCUACCAAGGCGACGACGGGUAGCCGGCCUGAGAGGGUGACCGGCCACACUGGGACUGAGAUACGGCCCAGACUCCUACGGGAGGCAGCAGUGGGGAAUAUUGCACAAUGGGCGCAAGCCUGAUGCAGCGACGCCGCGUGAGGGAUGACGGCCUUCGGGUUGUAAACCUCUUUCAAUAGGGACGAAGCGCAAGUGACGGUACCUAUAGAAGAAGCACCGGCCAACUACGUGCCAGCAGCCGCGGUAAUACGUAGGAUGCGAGCGUUGUCCGGAAUUACUGGGCGUAAAGAGCUCGUAGGUGGUUUGUCGCGUUGUUCGUGAAAACUCACAGCUUAACUGUGGGCGUGCGGGCGAUACGGGCAGACUAGAGUACUGCAGGGGAGACUGGAAUUCCUGGUGUAGCGGUGGAAUGCGCAGAUAUCAGGAGGAACACCGGUGGCGAAGGCGGGUCUCUGGGCAGUAACUGACGCUGAGGAGCGAAAGCGUGGGGAGCGAACAGGAUUAGAUACCCUGGUAGUCCAA